GGUUGUCGUCAGCUCGUGUCGUGAGAUGUGGUUAAGUCCCGCGACGAGCGCAACCCCUAUUGUUAGUUGCCAUCAUUCAGUUGGGCACUCUAGCGAGACUGCCGGUAAUAAACCGGAGGAAGUGGGGAUGACGUCAAAUCAUCAUGCCCCUUAUGACCUGGGCUACACACGUGCUACAAUGGUUGGUACAACGAGUUGCGAGUCGGUGACGGCGAGCUAAUCUCUUAAAGCCAAUCUCAGUUCGGAUUGUAGGCUGCAACUCGCCUACAUGAAGUCGGAAUCGCUAGUAAUCGCGGAUCAGCACGCCCGCGGUCGAAUACGUUCCCGGGCCUU
Molecule: ribosomal RNA, 333 nt
Filed under: uncultured Streptococcus sp.
Lineage: Bacteria; Bacillati; Bacillota; Bacilli; Lactobacillales; Streptococcaceae
Description: bacterial SSU rRNA
Rfam family: Bacterial small subunit ribosomal RNA
Source: RNAcentral